CUUGCGGAGACUGGGCGCAGGGCGUGGGGGUCAGUGAGGGCGCGGUGGGUCAGCCCCAGCCCGGCUGGCAGUCGCGGGGCUGGGAAGGUAGGGAACCCUCCGCUCUCACCCCACUUCCUGUUUGGUCGGUGUGUUCUGUGACCAUAGAUGGUCAAGUCUGGGGCCGCGCGGAAGCCUCCGCCCUGUGGUUUUGGAGCCCUUCCUCCCGGCGCGCAGGGUGUGGUCCCCGAGAAUAAGAUGAGCAGAAUUAAAGCAGAUCCUGCACCCACUCUGCUGAAAUCCGGCUUCUGAGGCAGCCUCGCCCAGGGCUGGGUGGGCUCAGGCGGCUGCUACUCGGUUCAGGGGAGGUUACGCACGGUGGCUGCCGCGCGCAGGGGAGGCUUCGCUUCCGUACUCCUUGGGCCGGGAGAUCCGAUCUUUGUUCCCUCAAGACUCACACUCUCCAACCGGUCAUUAUCCUCCCACAAAGAUUUAUUUCUAGAAAAAAUUGGCAAGUGCCACAGUUCCCGCCCCUUCAGCUGAACGACUGUGACAGCUCCGUGUUUCAAGUUGAAUGCAGGCGUUAUGUGCCAGAGUCAAUCAUUCAACAAAUAAAGUUCUUAAAAUAACAGCUACCAUUUACUGCACGCUGACUACUUGCCAGGCCCAUGCUGAGUUCUUCAAGCGUAUUUUCAUUUACUCCUAAUAGCAACUCUCGGUGAGACAGAAGGAACAUAGACCAUACACGCAUUCUAGAGGAAGAGGAGAGAGAAGAGGAAGCAGGAAGGAGAAUGAAGAAAGUUUCCUCAUCAGGUGGGGAAUAUUAAUGGGGCUGUAAUGAGAAACGGAAGCAGUAAUGUAUGUGAAACCACUUUGUAAAAUGCUUCAUUAUAAAGAAUGCACACACGACUUAAGUUACAACCCCUGCCCUAAGGAAUGUCCAGUCUUUUAAGAAGUCUAGAUCCAUGCAUUUGUAACUCCAGUAGGAGAUGGGAAGAUAGUUUAAGAAUAUCCGUCACAUGAAGGGCUGGGCGCGGUGGCUCACACCUGUAAUCCCAGCAUUUUGGGAGGCCGAGGCGGGCAGAUAACGAGGUCAAGAGAUCAAGACCAGCCUGGCCAAUAUGGUGAAACCCCGUCUCUACUAAAAAAUACAAAAAUUAGCUGGGCGUGGUGGCAUGCGCCUGUAGUCCCAGCUAUUUGGGAGGCUGAGGCAGGAGAAUCGCUUGAACCCGGGAGGCAGAGGUUGCAGUAAGCUGAGAUCGUGCUUCUCUACUCUAGCCUGGCGACAGAGUGAGACUCUGUCUCAAAAAAAUAAAUAAAAGAAUAUCUGUCACAUGUAUUUAUGCACUGAAAAAAAACUAUUGAGCUACAUAGUAGCAAUUAUUGGAAGAGUUCAAUAAUUGCUAUGCUACUUUGUACCAAGCACAACUAGGGAUCCAGCAGUGGACAAGUCAGACCCUGUUACUGCUCUCAUGGAGCUUACAGUCUAUUUUGGAAAUGAUAUUUCCAUUUGGAGUGGUCAUCAGAAGAUACGCUGCCUUCUGUCUUCCAGCUUUUUCCUCCUCGCUGAUCUUGCCCCUUGUCCAGUACCCAGUGCUUCAUCCAUGAUAACUAUGGCCGUGUGCCUGAGAUCUGGCCAAUGGAAUCGUGGACAGUUCUCCAUGCUCUUUCUCCUUCUGUGGCAACUCUGAAUGUCGUGUGUUCAAGAUGAAGACAGAAGAUAGAAUGACCUUGGGUCUCUGAAUCAUUGCUUGGAGAAGAGCAAUUUACUGAUCAGUGGUGUGAAAAUAAGUAAUUCAAAAUCUAAGCUAUUGGGCCAGGUGCAGUGGCUCACGCCUGUAACCC
This 1824-nucleotide long non-coding RNA is filed under the name Homo sapiens (human). Its description in RNAcentral is "HSALNT0291620". Lineage: Eukaryota; Metazoa; Chordata; Mammalia; Primates; Hominidae. The record is from RNAcentral.